ACCUGCUUCCACAGUACAAACUAAAAUGGGAAGGAUACCGCGAUGAUCAGCAUGGCCCCUGUACUACAAUGACAUGAAUUUGUGAGGCAUUUCGCGUUGUU
This 101-nucleotide small nuclear RNA is filed under the name Callithrix jacchus (white-tufted-ear marmoset). Lineage: Eukaryota; Metazoa; Chordata; Mammalia; Primates; Cebidae. The record is from RNAcentral.